AUGGGUCUUCCAUUGAUGUAAAUUUCUAAACUUUACAUAAGUUUAAAAUAUAAGAAAUUAUAUCUUUUACAGUGUGCACCACAUGGCCAUACAUGCCGUCUAUCACCACUUAUUUCCACAUCAGUGCACCAAAAUAAGUGUUUGAUCCAUAAGAUUCAUAAAAAUGAGUAGUUGUGAUUGAUGGCGUAUAUGACCAUAUAGUGCAUUCAGCAUAAUGGGAGAGAAAAGAAUAGGAAUUAUAUCCAGUGUAUAAAAAUAUUAUCGGCAUUGUUACUGCUUGUUUCGGCUAAGUCGGAAGGUGUGGCCUAGUCUUUGUGCAGAGAGUGCUGGAGUGAUCUACACAAAAAAGUUUGAACAGGAAGUUUUCGCUCCUACGAGGAUCCUCUGACAUUUAAGUCAGAUUCAGAAAAUAAAGAAAGCAGUAACGAGUUCUCUGAGAGGGAUUACUUAUUUUGGUCCUCAGAAUUUUGGUUGUUUAUAUAGAAUAUCAUCGAGCAACUGAUUGAACAAUUGUGAGAUCAUGCGAUCCCGAGAUUACAAGAUCGUUAAACAUACCAUUGCGAGUGAAAUAUUUUAAGCCUUAAUCGCUCUCGCAAAAUCAGGAAAGACGGUUAUCUCUGAGCCUGUCCAUUAGGAUGGACAGCUGUUGCAUACGUUGGGUAAUAAAUCGGUCG
Molecule: long non-coding RNA, 674 nt
Filed under: Elaeis guineensis (African oil palm)
Lineage: Eukaryota; Viridiplantae; Streptophyta; Magnoliopsida; Arecales; Arecaceae
Description: long non-coding RNA (EGUI_LNC037965)
Source: RNAcentral